CUGACACAGGGAGGUAGUGACAAGAAAUAACAAUACAGGGCUACAUCUAGUCUUGUAAUUGGAAUGAGUACAAUUUACAUCUCUUCACGAGGAUCAAUUGGAGGGCAAGUCUGGUGCCAGCAGCCGCGGUAAUUCCAGCUCCAAUAGCGUAUAUUAAAGUUGUUGCAGUUAGAACGCUCGUAGUCGGAUUUCGGGGCGGGCCGACCGGUCUGCCGAUGGGUACGCACUGGUCGGCGCGUCCUUCCUUCCGGAGACCGUGCCUACUCUUAACUGAGCGGGGGCGGGAGACGGAUCGUUUACUUUGAAAAAUCAGAGUGUUUCAAGCAGGCAGCUCGCUCUUGCAUGGAUUAGCAUGGGAUAAUGAAAUAGGACUUUGGUGCUAUUUUGUUGGUUUCGAACACCGAAGUAAUGAUUAAAAGGGACAGUCAGGGGCACUCGUAUUCCGCCGAGAGAGGUGAAAUUCUCAGACCAGCGGAAGACGAACCACUGCGAAAGCAUUUGCCAG
Molecule: ribosomal RNA, 505 nt
Filed under: Haptophyta environmental samples
Lineage: Eukaryota; Haptophyta
Description: SSU rRNA
Rfam family: Eukaryotic small subunit ribosomal RNA
Source: RNAcentral